CCGAAUGGGGAAACCCAGUGUGAUUCGUCACACUAUCAUUAACUGAAUCCAUAGGUUAAUGAGGCGAACCGGGGGAACUGAAACAUCUAAGUACCCCGAGGAAAAGAAAUCAACCGAGAUUCCCCCAGUAGCGGCGAGCGAACGGGGAGGAGCCCAGAGCCUGAAUCAGCAUGUGUGUUAGUGGAAGCGUCUGGAAAGGCGCGCGAUACAGGGUGACAGCCCCGUACACAAAAGCGCAUGUGCUGUGAGCUCGAUGAGUAGGGCGGGACACGUGGUAUCCUGUCUGAAUAUGGGGGGACCAUCCUCCAAGGCUAAAUACUCCUGACUGACCGAUAGUGAACCAGUACCGUGAGGGAAAGGCGAAAAGAACCCCGGCGAGGGGAGUGAAAAAGAACCUGAAACCGUGUACGUACAAGCAGUGGGAGCACAGGUUUACCUGUGUGACUGCGUACCUUUUGUAUAAUGGGUCAGCGACUUAUAUUCUGUAGCAAGGUUAACCGUAUAGGGGAGCCGGAGGGAAACCGAGUCUUAA
RNAcentral lists this ribosomal RNA (532 nucleotides) under Salmonella enterica subsp. enterica serovar Typhimurium. RNAcentral describes it as "partial 23S ribosomal RNA". It matches the Rfam family "Bacterial large subunit ribosomal RNA", at positions 114 to 687 of the family's 2925-position model. The record is from RNAcentral. Lineage: Bacteria; Pseudomonadati; Pseudomonadota; Gammaproteobacteria; Enterobacterales; Enterobacteriaceae.